This 255-nucleotide ribosomal RNA is filed under the name uncultured bacterium. RNAcentral describes it as "partial 16S ribosomal RNA". It matches the Rfam family "Bacterial small subunit ribosomal RNA", at positions 524 to 776 of the family's 1533-position model. The record is from RNAcentral.
GACAGAGGCCUCAAGCGUUAGGCGGAAUCACUGGGCUUAAAGCGUGUGUAGGCGGAUCGUUAAGUGUCUUGUGAAAUCCCACGGCUCACCCGUGGAACUGCUGGGCAUACUGGCGAUCUUGGGCCAACUAGGGGCAACUGGAACAAGCGGUGGAGCGGUGAAAUGCGUAGAGAUCCGGAGGAACACCGACGGCGCAGGCAGCGUCCUGGCCGCUUGGCUGACACUGGAGGCACGAAAGCUGGGGGAGCAAACAGG